This 253-nucleotide ribosomal RNA is filed under the name uncultured bacterium. RNAcentral's name for it is "partial 16S ribosomal RNA". It matches the Rfam family "Bacterial small subunit ribosomal RNA", at positions 524 to 776 of the family's 1533-position model. The record is from RNAcentral.
UACGUAGGGGGCUAGCGUUGUCCGGAUUUACUGGGUUUAAAGGGUGCGCAGGCGGAUAUGUAAGUCAGUGGUGAAAUCUCUAGGCUUAACCUGGAAAUUGCCGUUGAUACUAUAUAUCUUGAAUGUUGUGGAGGUAAGCGGAAUAUGUCAUGUAGCGGUGAAAUGCUUAGAUAUGACAUAGAACACCUAUUGCGAAGGCAGCUUACUACGCAGAUAUUGACGCUCAUGCACGAAAGCGUGGGGAUCAAACAGG